GAUGAAGAACGCAGCGAAAUGCGAUAAGUAAUGUGAAUUGCAGAAUUCCGUGAAUCAUCGAAUCUUUGAACGCACAUUGCGCCCCCUGGCAUUCCGGGGGGCAUGCCUGUCCGAGCGUCAUUUCUGCCCUCAAGCACGGCUUGUGUGUUGGGUGUGGUCCCCCCGGGGACCUGCCCGAAAGGCAGCGGCGACGUCCGUCUGGUCGUCGAGCGUAUGGGGCUCUGUCACUCGCUCGGGAAGGACCUGCGGGGGUUGGUCACCACUAUAUUUUACCACGGUUGACCUCGGAUCAGGUAGGAGUUACCCGCUGAACUUAAGCAUAUCAAUAAGCGGAGGA
RNAcentral lists this unclassified non-coding RNA (337 nucleotides) under soil metagenome. RNAcentral's name for it is "partial contains 5.8S ribosomal RNA, internal transcribed spacer 2, and large subunit ribosomal RNA". The stretch from base 1 to 120 matches the Rfam family "5.8S ribosomal RNA", at positions 35 to 154 of the family's 154-position model. The record is from RNAcentral.